UGGGGAAUAUUGGACAAUGGGCGAAAGCUUGAUCCAGCCAUGCCGCGUGUGUGAAGAAGGCCUUUUGGUUGUAAAGCACUUUAAGCGAGGAGGAGGCUACUUAGAUUAAUACUCUAGGAUAGUGGACGUUACUCGCAGAAUAAGCACCGGCUAACUCUGUGCCAGCAGCCGCGGUAAUACAGAGGGUGCGAGCGUUAAUCGGAUUUACUGGGCGUAAAGCGUGCGUAGGCGGCUUUUUAAGUCGGAUGUGAAAUCCCUGAGCUUAACUUAGGAAUUGCAUUCGAUACUGGGAAGCUAGAGUAUGGGAGAGGAUGGUAGAAUUCCAGGUGUAGCGGUGAAAUGCGUAGAGAUCUGGAGGAAUACCGAUGGCGAAGGCAGCCAUCUGGCCUAAUACUGACGCUGAGGUACGAAAGCAUGGGGAGCAAACAGG
RNAcentral lists this ribosomal RNA (430 nucleotides) under bacterium. RNAcentral's name for it is "partial 16S ribosomal RNA". It matches the Rfam family "Bacterial small subunit ribosomal RNA", at positions 355 to 776 of the family's 1533-position model. The record is from RNAcentral.